AUGCUGGCGGGAUUGGGACAAGCCCAUCCCUCCAUUUCGUUUCCUCAAUUUUCGGGCGAAAAUCCGAACAUGUGGAAAACGAUGUGUGAACAAUACUUUUCCAUGUUUGGUAUUCACAAAACAUUUUGGGUUCCCAUGGCCACACUCAAUUUCUCAGGGGCCGCGGCCAUUUGGCUGCAAUCAAUCCAAAAGAAGCUCAAUAGCUUUGAUUGGGAGUCCUUCUCUGCACUGUUAACUACAUGUUUCGGUCGCGAUCGCCACCAACUGCUCAUUCGGCAAUUUUACACCAUUAAGAAGACAUCCACUGUAGCUGAUUUCAUCGAGCGCUUUGAAUUAGUCAUUAAUCAUUUGAGCUCUUAUUCCGAUUCGAUUCACCCAUUUUAUUUUCUCACCCGUUUUGUGGAAGGAUUACGAGCGGAUAUACCGAGCAGUGGUCAUGGUGUAACGACCGCCUGA
RNAcentral lists this ribosomal RNA (456 nucleotides) under Triticum aestivum (bread wheat). RNAcentral describes it as "partial small subunit ribosomal RNA". Lineage: Eukaryota; Viridiplantae; Streptophyta; Magnoliopsida; Poales; Poaceae. The record is from RNAcentral.